UACGUAGGGCGCAAGCGUUAUCCGGAAUUAUUGGGCGUAAAGAGCUCGUAGGCGGUCUGUCGCGUCCGUUGUGAAAACUCGAGGCUCAACCUCGGGCUUGCAGUGGAUACGGGCAGACUAGAGUGCGGUAGGGGAGACUGGAAUUCCUGGUGUAGCGGUGGAAUGCGCAGAUAUCAGGAGGAACACCGAUGGCGAAGGCAGGUCUCUGGGCACUUACUGACGCUGAGGAGCGAAAGCGUGGGGAGCGAACAGG
RNAcentral lists this ribosomal RNA (253 nucleotides) under uncultured bacterium. RNAcentral describes it as "partial 16S ribosomal RNA". It matches the Rfam family "Bacterial small subunit ribosomal RNA", at positions 524 to 776 of the family's 1533-position model. The record is from RNAcentral.